UGAUUCCACCAGUGACUGAGCACAGACAACCACCAUGGAGCUGGGGCUGCGCUGGGUUCUCCUUGUUACUCUGUUGAAAGGUGUGCAGUGUGAGGUGCAGCUGGUGGAGUCUGGGGGAGGCUUGGUGCAGCCUGGGGGGUCCCUGAGACUCUCCUGUGUGGCCUCUGAAUUCACCUUCAGUCACUAUGGCAUGAGCUGGGUCCGCCAGGCUCCAGGGAAGCGGCUGGAGUGGAUUUCAUCCAUCUAUGGUGAUAAUAGUUACAUAAAGUAUGCAGACUCCGUGAAGGGCCGCUUCACCAUCUCCACAGACAACAGCAAGAACACAGUUUACCUGCAGAUGAACAGCCUGAGAGUGGAGGACACGGCCAUCUAUUACUGUGCAAGAGACACAAGCCUGAAUCAUGGGCUGAGCAGUCAAAUGUGGAAUUCUCUGGAAAGAGUUGCUCAGCUCUGCUCCAGAGACCAAGAAUUCCUGGAGACAUGGAGGCAGGGAAGCAAGAUCAUCUCUCCUUACGAGGCCAAUAAGGACACUCCUGCCCUGCAGAACUGGUGUCUGCUCCCUAAUAUCAAGAGCACACGGGUCAGCAAUAAGGAGUGA
This is a non-coding RNA of Dipodomys spectabilis (banner-tailed kangaroo rat), 598 nucleotides long. The record is from the annotation of a RefSeq genome assembly. Lineage: Eukaryota; Metazoa; Chordata; Mammalia; Rodentia; Heteromyidae.